This is a long non-coding RNA of Maniola jurtina (meadow brown), 330 nucleotides long. RefSeq lists it as uncharacterized. Lineage: Eukaryota; Metazoa; Arthropoda; Insecta; Lepidoptera; Nymphalidae. The transcript is spliced from 2 exons. The record is from RefSeq and is a predicted model, not a curated record.
AUUUAAGGUCAGGUGGGGUAAGAGGGACGCGGGGGGAAGAGAAACUGUACCUAGUAAAAAGAAAACUAUAACGGCGAGCUCUAUGGUCACUACGUUGAUAUAACAGUAUUAGGCGUAGUUCAUAUAUUCUUGGAUAUAUGGCGCUACAACACGGCAGAUAAGCGAGUAAAAGAGAGAAAAAAAAAUCAGUUGUCAAACUAAAAAAACCAAGACCUAGCGGCGUUCCUUGUUUGUGUUAUUAAAAUAUUAAAAACAUCAGUUUUGCGGUUGAUUGCUAUGAAAAAGCAAAAUGCCUCGAGCUUACGAAAAAAAGACCGAUAGAAGUUCUUA